RNAcentral lists this long non-coding RNA (723 nucleotides) under Coffea arabica (coffee). RNAcentral describes it as "long non-coding RNA (CARA_LNC003267)". Lineage: Eukaryota; Viridiplantae; Streptophyta; Magnoliopsida; Gentianales; Rubiaceae. The record is from RNAcentral.
AAAAAUGAUGAAAAAUGAAAAAAUGAAGAAAAAGAGAAGAAAAAAAAAACAAAAGAGAAAAGAAAAUAAAUAAAAAUUGUUCUACUCCAAUGAUUCUCGUACCGAGUAACCGGGGGUUGGCAUCUACAAAUGUCAACAUUCGCGUAAAAAGGUACUUGAAUUAAGAGUAUGCAAAGCAACUUGAGUAUGUGAAGUGUUGAGUAACCGGUGAUCUUCAUCUAAAAAUGUUGAUCCUCGCGUAAAAAGAUACUUUCACAACUUAAGUAAUAUUUAGCUAUAUUAUAUAAAUAAAUCCCUCUUUAAGUUAAAUAAGAAGAUGAUCAUGGGUUUAGGAAGCAUAUUAUUGACCACAUGAGUUACUUACUUGUAAGAUUGGGUAAGGAUGAAAAAUUGAUUUGAAUUUGUUAUAAUGACGGUAUAAUUGGCUCUCCUUUACUUGAUAUUAUGAGUACUUGAACUUAAUUGAAUAAUUGCAUAAUGGUUAUUUACUUUGUUUUGAGAAAAUGAAGUUGAAAUGCUACAUAUGCUUAUUUUCAAAUUUUGGAUCAUUGUCGGUUUGUAUUUCUUAUUGCUUGAGGACAAGCAAUGGUUCAAGUGUGGGGGUAUUUGAUAAGAGUAUAUUUUACGUAUUUUUAGUGUGCUUUAUUAAUUAGUUUUGGUGUGUUUUAUUUAGUUUUAUAAAUAAUUAACUAAGAUUCUAGUGAAAAUAUGCAUUUUGUGGUU